GGUUCCAUAGUGUAGCGGUUAGCAUGUCUGCUUUACAUGCAGAAGGUUCUGGGUUCAUGCCCCAGUGGAGCCC
Molecule: transfer RNA, 73 nt
Filed under: Pteropus alecto (black flying fox)
Lineage: Eukaryota; Metazoa; Chordata; Mammalia; Chiroptera; Pteropodidae
Rfam family: tRNA
About the family: Transfer RNA (tRNA) molecules are approximately 80 nucleotides in length.
Source: Rfam by way of RNAcentral